This 297-nucleotide unclassified non-coding RNA is filed under the name fungal sp. Its description in RNAcentral is "partial internal transcribed spacer region". The stretch from base 1 to 46 matches the Rfam family "Eukaryotic small subunit ribosomal RNA", at positions 1786 to 1831 of the family's 1831-position model. Lineage: Eukaryota; Fungi. The record is from RNAcentral. RNAcentral also lists the same sequence under 1 other name.
AAGUCGUAACAAGGUUUCCGUAGGUGAACCUGCGGAAGGAUCAUUAAUGAAUGAUAAUUUUUUGGGGUUUUCCCUGAAAAAUAAUUCACCCUUUGUGCAUUGUUAUUUAGAUAUACUUUGGUUAGUGCUUUGGUUCCGAAAACAUUUGGAAUCAACUUCUUGCUAACUCUAUCCUUUUUAAAGGACAGUUGGCUAUGAAGCGGCCUACCAAGGUUUUUUAUCAAACACUUGUAUUUUUGUCUGACCUAAAAACAAAUAAUUAAAUCAUAACUUUCAACAACGGAUCUCUUGGCUCUC